Molecule: ribosomal RNA, 234 nt
Filed under: uncultured bacterium
Lineage: Bacteria
Description: partial 16S ribosomal RNA
Rfam family: Bacterial small subunit ribosomal RNA
Source: RNAcentral
UGGCGGACGGGUGAGUAAUGUCUGGGAAACUGCCCGAUGGAGGGGGAUAACUACUGGAAACGGUAGCUAUACCGCAUAACGUCGCAAGACCAAAGAGGGGGACCUUCGGGCCUCUUGCCAUCGGAUGUGCCCAGAUGGGAUUAGCUAGUAGGUGGGGUAACGGCUCACCUAGGCGACGAUCCCUAGCUGGUCUGAGAGGAUGACCAGCCACACUGGAACUGAGACACGGUCCAG